RNAcentral lists this ribosomal RNA (721 nucleotides) under uncultured bacterium. Its description in RNAcentral is "bacterial SSU rRNA". It matches the Rfam family "Bacterial small subunit ribosomal RNA", at positions 57 to 796 of the family's 1533-position model. The record is from RNAcentral.
GCAGUCUAUGAGGAAGUUAGCUUGCUNAAUGGACUCAUGGCGGACGGGUGAGUAACGCGUAAAGAACUUGCCCUUUAGACUGGGAUAACAGAGGGAAACUUCUGAUAAUACUGGAUAAGUUAGUAUAUCGCAUGAUAUGCAAAUGAAAGCUACGGCACUAAAGGAGAGCUUUGCGUCCUAUUAGCUAGUUGGUAAGGUAAGAGCUUACCAAGGCGAUGAUAGGUAGCCGGCCUGAGAGGGUGGACGGCCACAAGGGGACUGAGAUACGGCCCUUACUCCUACGGGAGGCAGCAGUGGGGAAUAUUGGACAGUGGAGGGAACUCUGAUCCAGCAAUUCUGUGUGUGUGAAGAAGGUUUUAGGACUGUAAAACACUUUUAGUAGGGAAGAAAAAAAUGACGGUACCUACAGAAGAAGCAACGGCUAAAUACGUGCCAGCAGCCGCGGUAAUACGUAUGUUGCGAGCGUUAUCCGGAAUUAUUGGGCUUAAAGGGCAUCUAGGCGGUAAGACAAGUUGAAGGUGAAAACCUGUGGCUCAACCAUAGGCUUGCCUACAAAACUGUUGAACUAGAGUACUGGAAAGGUGGGUGGAACUACACGAGUAGAGGUGAAAUUCGUAGAUAUGUGUAGGAAUGCCGAUGAUGAAGAUAACUCACUGGACAGAAACUGACGCUGAAGUGCGAAAGCUAGGGGAGCAAACAGGAUUAGAUACCCUGGUAGUCC